AGCAACAGUAGAAUCUCAAAAAGAAAGUACAGCCGACUCUUGAACAACACAGGUUUGAACUGCAGGCGUACACUAUACAUGUAUUUUCUUCCCCCUCUGCCACUCCUGAGACAGCAAGGCCAACCUCCCCUCUUCCUCCUCCUCUUCACCCUACUCACAGUGAAGACAACAAGAAUGAAGACCUUUAUGAGGAUCCACUUCCACUUAAUGAAUAAAAUUGUCCUGACCCUUUUCACAAGAUGGCGCCGAAAGCGAAGAAGGAAGCUCCUGCCCCUCCCACAGCUGAAGCCAAAGCGAAGGCUCCGAAGGCCAAGAAGGCAGUGUUGAAAGGUGUCCACAACCACAAAAAAAGGAAAAGAAAAAAAGAAAGAUCUGCCCGUCACCCACCUUCCAGCAGCCCAAGACACUGCGACUCCCGAGGCAGCCCAGAUAUCCUCGGAAGAGCGCCCCCAGGAGAAACAAGCUUAACCACUAUACUAUCAAAUUUCCGCUGACCACUGAGUCGGCCAUGAAGAAGACAGAAGACAACAACACGCUUGUGUUCACUGUGGAUGUUAAAGCCAACAAGCACCACAUCAAACAGGCUGUGAAGAAGCUCUGUGACAUCGAUGUGGCCAAGGUCAACACCUGAUUCGGCCUGAUGGAGAGAAGGCAUAUAUUCAACUGCCUCCUGAUUACGAUGCUUUGGAUGUUGCCAAACUUUCAUCAUAUCAACAAGCGUUUACUAAACAUCUAUUAUGUACCAAGCCCUGUGCUGUACAAUGGAACUGUCUCACAUCAGUAUUCAUUUAAAAAUAGUAUUUAUGAAAAUUUUUCAGAGGCAGUUGGUAAGAAAUAUUUUUUCAACACUAUAACUAUAAAACGAUUGAUUUUAUUACACUAAAAAUAAAAAUAUUUUUUAUUUAGUAGUAAAAAAUGACUUUAUUUUUUCAUUUUACAAAGGUGUUCUAUUUUUAAUAAGUUGACUUAAAGCCUUUUACUUAAUAGUCAAGUUUUACAAGGAUGAAGAAAUGCAGGUUUUUCUCUGCUCUUAUCAUACUAAUUGUAGUUAACUGAAAAGUCUACAGUUGUUUUUAGCAAAUCAGUGGUUUAAGUUUGUCUAAGUUAUUGUUGGUUCAAUAAGCAGGGAGGACCUCAACUGUCAUUCUAAUCAUGUUUCAACUAAUUACAUUACAGUGUUUAUUAUUUUUAUUAUUAUUAUUAUUAUUUUUUUUUUUUGAGACGUCGUCUCGCUCUGUAGCCCAGGCUGGAGUGCAGUGAUGCGAUCUCGGCUCACUGCAAACUCCGCCUCCUGGGUUCACGCCAUUCUCCUGCCUCAGCCUCCCGGGUGGCUGGGACUACGACUACAGGCGCACGCCACCACGCCCAGCUAAUUUUUUGUAUUUUUAGUAGAGAUGGGGUUUCACUGUGUUAGCCAGGAUGGUCUGGAUCUCCUGACCUCGUGAUCCGCCCGCCUCAGCCUCCCAAAGUGCUGGGAUUACAGGCGUGAGCCACCGCGCCAGGCCACAGUCUUUUUUUUUAAGACUAUUUUUUCCUUGCUCUUUAAAGGAAUCCAAAGUUCUCCUAGUAAGUUGAGCACCUAGAGAAACUUUAUCAAGACUUACUCCCUGAAUUACUGCCACAUCAUACAAAAUAGAAGCUUUAUAACCUGAAGAAGUUUAUGUAACUGCACAACUGCUCACUGCCAUGCUAUUAGCUACGUUAACGGUUUUGUCAAAUAAAUGGAAUGUAAAAUUUAAAAAAAAGUCUAAAAGUCAGGCUUUGCAAGAAUUUAAAGAAAAAGUGAAUUCCUAAUUUCAACAUUAACAGAAGAAAACUUUAAACUUAUUCCCACAAAGGGCAGACAUGAAUUCUCAACAAUACAUCCUUGGAGGUGAUUGCAAACAUUAUAUAGGUUUGGACCCAAAUACUGGAAUUCUUUACUCAUUAAAAUUUGCAAUUGAUAAAACAGAUUUGGGUUAAAAGAGAAAAGGAGAAAGGAAGAAACAAAGAAAAGCCAGUUUUCAAAUUGUCUUCAAUUCUGGUAUCUACAUGUCAAGACAUAAACAGAUGCUGGAUAAGGUCCAAAGAAACUAAAAUGAUCACAAAAUCAUUGAUUGCUGUAUGAGGUAAAUUACAACCGAGGGUUAUGACUUCUCAGUAUGGAAAGGGCAACGCAAAAGGCAGAUUAAAAGAGUAUAUAGUGUUGUGAACAGUAUGAGGGGUGUGUCCUACUUGAAUUUGUUCACUAAAUUUCAAAAUUCUAGAAGAAAAGCAAUACCAACUUAUACUUGAAAUAAUUUAGGGCAAAUAAAAGAAUGUUUUAAGAGUUGAUAGAAAACUUGUCAAUCUUACCAUAAAAAGUAGCAUAAAGCUAAAAUUAUAACAGUUUGAAGAAGGAUUUAGUUGUUUUUUAAGGAUUUAUAGACAAAGUAAUCUCGCAGUUCCAUUUGGGUGGGGAGAGAAAACAGAUAACUUUUUUUAAGGUUAUCGCAAAGGAUAGACGUGAAUGCUCACAAUACAUCCUUGGAGGUGCUUGUAAACAUUUUAUAGGUUUGGAUCCAAAUACUGAAAUUCUUUACUCUUAUUAAACUUUGCGAUUGAUAAAUUAGAUUUUGGUUAAAAGAGAAAGGGGGAAAGGAAGAAACAAAGAAAGAGAAGCCAGUUUUCAAAUGAAAGUCAUAGCUUGCUGCCCAGAAUUUCAAAUCCGUCUCAUGCCUUGAAAGUAGUAGCAAUCCAGGGUUUCAAGAACUUUUAACAAUCAUGCUUCUAUCUGAAGGGGAAAAAGGGUUCACUGUAUAGUAAUUAGAUGCUUAACAGUCUUGACUUAUUUAAGCUGCCUUCCUAUUUUCCCCAUUGACACAGGUAGCAAGGAUGCUGACUCAGAUUUCUCUUCAGGCCUGCCUGGUUAAUCUUCCUGUGCUCUCCUUUGUAUAGACAAAUAAGCAGAAUCUGAAUGUCUUCUUCACAAGUUUCUCUAACUACUCAAUAGCAAGCUGAGCCAUUUCUUCUACUCUUCAUGAAUCUGUCAUCAUUGCAAAGUGAAAAAUCAAAGAUCUCAUAAUUUCUCUGCAAAAAAUAACUCGAUUAGUAUAAACUUACAGUUUCCAUUUUUAACAUAAUAUCAGGAAAUAUUAAGUGCUUUUCAACCCUAAUAUAAAUAUCCAGAUUUUCUAAAGCUUUUGCUUGAUUGAUUUGUUAUGUCACUAGGAACAUCAAACAGUUUCCUUGAGAAAAAUAGAUCUUGAAAAAUCUAUUUUAAGUUUGGAAAAUAUUUCUGACCAUUUUUAGACAGCAAAGGUGCUGAGGUCAAAUCACAUUGCACAAGAGCAAAUAAUCAGUUACUUCAAAAAAACACUUGUUAAGCUUGCUACCAAAACAAAACAAAACUAUUUUAUUUUGUUGAGAGUACCAUGAAAAGAGCAGGUGCUAGUAACGAAGAAAAAUACCAAAUCUCACCUAAGGCUACAGCAGCUUACUAAAAAUAUGAUAAAUUUCACAGGGACCAGGCAAGGUAAUGACAGUGAGCUAUAAUAUUGACUGCAUGAUUAAACCUCAAAUGCCUGCUGAUGCAGCAGUUCAUUACUAAGUAUUUACGUGUACUCAUCUGUGGUCUGUCGAAUUAAAAUCUUUUAACAAACUAUGCUAAUUUCCUACAUUAAAAAUAUAUUAAUCUAAGCUACUUAAAGUAUACUUAGGUAACAAUUAAGUGACACUUGAAAUGCUUUAAGUUUAUAAUUUGUUGUCCAGAUUUUGUGCCUGAAUAAUGGUGCUGAAAAGUAAAAAUAAUUUCUCAUCCUUUCUCCUGAAAUUUCUCCCUGUUCUUUCAAGAAUCCAAACAACAGGAUUUCAUUCCCUGUGCUGAGCCUCCUUUCAGUUUCCUCUUCCUACCUAUGUCUCAGCUGAAAACUUAAGACCAUUCUACAGCCAAUGGUUCCACCUUCUGCAGCUGUCGUCUAAAUUCCAAAUGCAGCCAUGUCAAGGCAUCUGCACAUGGCAGCUGUAAAAGAAACACUGGCACUUUACUGCUGAGAGGAAAGGUAGUGCCAUUUUUUGAGCAUCGGUACCCUCCCAGAGAGGAUGACAGCUGGCAACUCUGUCCUACAGAAAACAGGAAAGCAAGAGAAACAUACACAGAAAUGCCUACAUAUGAUGUCACUCGGUAGCCACAGCCCUAAAAGUAUCCCAGAAAGAGGGCAAAUUAGCUGUAAAGCUAAAGCAAAAAAUUUUCCUGAACAGUAUUUGGUUACAAGGACAAAUAAAAUUCAUUUAUAUCCAU
Gorilla gorilla gorilla (western lowland gorilla) is the source of this 4258-nucleotide long non-coding RNA. RefSeq lists it as uncharacterized. Lineage: Eukaryota; Metazoa; Chordata; Mammalia; Primates; Hominidae. The transcript has 2 exons. The record is from RefSeq and is a predicted model, not a curated record.